Molecule: ribosomal RNA, 512 nt
Filed under: uncultured bacterium
Lineage: Bacteria
Description: partial 16S ribosomal RNA
Rfam family: Bacterial small subunit ribosomal RNA
Source: RNAcentral
GAUGAACGCUGGCGGCGUGCCUAACACAUGCAAGUCGAACGAAACUUCUUUAUCACCGAGCUCUUGCAGUCAGCGAGAAAGGGAUGAGUGGCGAACGGGUGGGAAACUCGUUUUUAACGUGGGCUAAAGAGGGGGAAAUUACUCUGAAACAGGAUCUAAUACCGCAGAACAAUAGUUAGCGCUUGGUAACUUUGGAAAAGGUGGCUGUCCAACUGCGAUUGGAUGGGUCGGUGGCGCAUUAGCUAGUUGGGAGGGUAAAGGCUUACCAAGGCAAAGAUGCGUAGCUGAAUUGAGAGGUUGAUCAGCCACAUUGGGACUGAGACACGGCCCAAACUCCUACGGGAGGCAGCAGUAGGGAAUAUUCCACAAUGGGCGAAAGCCUGAUGGAGCAACGCCGCGUGGGUGAAGAAGGCCUUCGGAUCGUAAAGCCCUGUUGUUAGGAAAGAAAGUGAGCGAGAUUAACUGUUCACGUUCUGACGGUACCUAAAGAAAAAGCCCCGGCUAACUACGUG